Molecule: ribosomal RNA, 958 nt
Filed under: Biatoropsis usnearum
Lineage: Eukaryota; Fungi; Basidiomycota; Tremellomycetes; Tremellales; Tremellaceae
Description: eukaryotic LSU rRNA
Rfam family: Eukaryotic large subunit ribosomal RNA
Source: RNAcentral
GACCUCAAAUCAGGUAGGGCUACCCGCUGAACUUAAGCAUAUCAAUAAGGGAGGAAAAGAAACUAACAAGGAUUCCCCUAGUAGCGGCGAGCGAACCGGACGAGCUCAAAUUUGAAAUCUGGCGCCCCCCGGGCGUCCGAGUUGUAACUACAGAAGCGUCUUCCGCGCCGGACCGUGUCCAAGUCCCUUGGAACAGGUAUCAAAGAGGGUGACAAUCCCGUGCUUGACACGACGACCGGUGCUCUUGAUGCGCUCUCCACGAGUCGAGUUGUUUGGGAAUGCAGCUCAAAACGGUGGUAAAUUCCAUCUAAAGCUAAAUAUUGGCAAGAGACCGAUAGCGAACAGUACCGUGAGGGAAAGAUGAAAAGCACUUUGGAAAGAGAGUUAAACAGGUGUGAAAUUGUUGAAAGGGAAACGAUUGAAGUCAGUCGUGUCGAGGGGUUCAACCGGCCCUGCCGGCGUACUUCCCCUCGACGGGUCAACGUCAGUUCCUCCGGCGGAAAAGGGCGACGGGAAGGUGGCACCCUCGGGUGUGUUAUGCCCGUUGUCGCAUACGCUGGUCGAGACUGAGGAACGCAGCUCGCCCUCCCGGGCCCGGGGUCCGCCCACGCCAGAGCUUAGGAUGUUGACAGAAUGGUUUAAACGACCCGUCUUGAAACACGGACCAAGGAGUCUAACAUAUCUGCAGUGUUUGGGUGUCAAACCCGGGCGCGUAAUGAAAGUAAACGCAAGAGGAUCCGCAAGGAGCACCUUUGACCGAUCUGGAUCUUCUGUGAUGGAUUUGGUAAGAGCAUAUGUGCUGGGACCCGAAAGAUGGUGAACUAUGCCUGAAUGGGCGAAGCCAGGGGAAACUCUGGUGGAGGCUCGUAGCGAUUCUGACGUCAAAUCGAUCGUCAAAUUUGGGUAUAGGGGCGAAAGACUAAUCGAACCACUAGUAGCUGGUUCCUGCCGAAGUUUC